Small nucleolar RNA from Heterocephalus glaber (naked mole-rat), 137 nucleotides. The record is from Ensembl. Lineage: Eukaryota; Metazoa; Chordata; Mammalia; Rodentia; Bathyergidae.
CUGGCCCUGAAUUAAGGCCGGCAGUUUUCUGAAGCUGUUGGUUUCAAGCAGGAGCCUAAAGAGAUGUCUUUCUAUGGUCUGUUGGCCAUUUCAGAACUUGGUAAAUGGAAUGGUCAAUUCAUUAGAAAGAAACAGUA